UACAUGGUGGCGCAGAUGGCGGGAAAUUCGGGAGCCAGUCAGUGUGGGCCGCAGAAGGAGUUAUGGGAUGCGUGUGGAGGAGGCAACCCGAGAGCGUCCAACUCCUGGACCUGCAGCUCAGCAGUGUUGACAACUCCUCACAAACCAUGGAUCAUCCUCUGCCAAGGCAGUCUCAGCAUCCCCCCGGGAGCAAGCAAUGGCAUCAUACCCGCAGCGUGCGCAACAUCUGUAAAAGAUUUCCUCAAACGGGAUAAUACAAGCAGCACAGCACAUUAACAUAAGAAAGACAACAAUUAGGGUCAGAAAUCCAGUAACCACCAUUGCAGUGUACUUACCAAACCACUCACCCAACCAAGAGAACAGUCCACUCUCCUCCACUCCAGCCAAGCCUUUCAUUUCCACUGAUAGUUUAUCUAGACCACUUAAAGCUUUCGAAAUGCUCCCAUCAGGGCUAGUAUUGUUAGGGAUAAAUGUACAACAUUGUUCUCCAAACAUUUUGCAAACCCCACCUUGACUGGCUAGGAUCAUAUCUAGGGCUAGUCUAUUUUGCCUGGCAGUUCUAGAGGUAGCCUCCAAUUGUUCAUGGAUGGGUCGCGUGCAUGGAUGGGUCACGUGCUCUGUGGAUCCUAGAAGUUGGUUAGCUGUAACUUCAAUAAUGGUUAAUGGUAUUAUCAGACUGGCUAAGGCGCACGUACCCUGCCAGUCACCUCUAAGAAUAGGUGUUAAGCGCCUGUUUGGUCCACAUAUCCACCAUACGUCAGCAACGCCUCUAGUUUGAUUCAGCCCUUCUACCGGCCAGGUAGCAUUAAUGGUUACAUUACUGAUGCAAUCAGCUUCAGGCAACCGCCCAUAGUCUAUACCCCUACCUGUACCCAUGAUGCAGCUGUAGUUUCCCCCAUAUGCCUUAACACCCCACGGGGCCUUCCGGGGAGGAACUUCUGGGAACACAAGACUCAAAGAUUUACACAGAGUUGAAUUUGGUUUAACAUGGUAAAAUCCCUCCAAUAUACACAUCCACCCCUCACCGUCACCUAAAGCAAAUGGGUGUGUUGCCAGAACAGGCCUAGCAUGACCACAGAUAACACAGUCCUUUCUGUUAAGUGUUUUAGCUGUAUAUCGCAUGUAUGCCAGCCACAUAUUUUCACUUGAGUGACAGGGGGCGUGGCUAGGUUUGUGUGGAAAGUGGCACGGAGAGAAAGAGCGGAGGGAGAUGACUCAAGUAAACUUUCAAAAUUGACAUUACACAUGGCGUAUCACAUUUAACAAACCAAACAUUCAAAUACCGGUAUAGAAGGUAAAGUGAAAACCCAAACCAGUCCCUGCAUCAAUACCGGUAUAUCAUAAAAUACGGAAUACCGCCCAGCCAUACUAUCAUCUGCAUAUAAAUGGAUGAGAUAGCUUCCCUACUGCCUGAGCUAUGUUGUUGAUGUAAAUUGAGGAG
Long non-coding RNA from Salvelinus namaycush (lake trout), 1441 nucleotides. RefSeq lists it as uncharacterized. The transcript is spliced from 3 exons. The record is from RefSeq and is a predicted model, not a curated record. NCBI's taxonomy places the organism in Eukaryota, Metazoa, Chordata, Actinopteri, Salmoniformes, Salmonidae.